GCAUUAUUGGUUCAGUGGUAGAAUUCUCGCCUCCCACGUUGGAGAGCCGGGUUCGAUUCCUGGCCAAUGCA
RNAcentral lists this transfer RNA (71 nucleotides) under Danio rerio (zebrafish). It matches the Rfam family "tRNA". Rfam says of the family: Transfer RNA (tRNA) molecules are approximately 80 nucleotides in length. Their secondary structure includes four short double-helical elements and three loops (D, anti-codon, and T loops). Lineage: Eukaryota; Metazoa; Chordata; Actinopteri; Cypriniformes; Danionidae. The record is from Rfam by way of RNAcentral.